ACCCUACUAUGCCUAACCUAACACACAUGAAAUCACCAACUGUUCGCCAAACAACUACGAGUUAAAACUUAAAACUUAAAAGACUUGACGGUACUUCACACCACCCUAGAGGAGCCUGUCUAAUAACCGAUACCCCACGAUUAACCCAACCCACCCUAGCCCAACAGUCUAUAUACCGCCAUCGCCAGCUUACCUUGUGAAAGAAACAAAGUGAACACAAUAGCCACCACUAACACGAUAGGUCGAGGUGUAACUAAUGGGUGGGAAAAAGAUGGGCUACAUUUUCUAACACAGAAAAUACGAAUAGACUAUGAAAAUAGAAACCGAAGGCGGAUUUAGCAGUACGUUAAGGACAUAAUGCUUAACCGAAAUAAAUGCAAUGAAGUGCGUACACACCGCCCGUCAUCCCUGUAAAACCAACUAAAAUUACAUAAACACAUUAAACCUACCAAACA
This 455-nucleotide ribosomal RNA is filed under the name Thamnophis sirtalis. Its description in RNAcentral is "partial 12S ribosomal RNA". The record is from RNAcentral. Lineage: Eukaryota; Metazoa; Chordata; Lepidosauria; Squamata; Natricidae.